Molecule: small RNA, 4257 nt
Filed under: Pan troglodytes (chimpanzee)
Lineage: Eukaryota; Metazoa; Chordata; Mammalia; Primates; Hominidae
Description: retained intron
Source: RNAcentral
GUGAAAAUGAUAAUACAAUUCUUUUCUGGGAUUAAAACACUUUCCAAAAACUAAUAGUUAACUUAUUUGUAGCAGUAAUCAUUUGCCUUAUUUAGGGCUCUGUAGGCAAGGGGGACCUCAUCAGUGCUACUGCAAAAUGGCUAUGUUGAUUGAGUCAAUGGAAAUAACAUUUCACUUGAUACUGGCUUUUAAUUUUUUCCCUUAUCCUUAUUGUUAGGAUUUAAAACCAAGUAACAUUGUAGUCAAGUCUGAUUGCACAUUGAAAAUCCUGGACUUUGGACUGGCCAGGACAGCAGGCACAAGCUUCAUGAUGACUCCAUAUGUGGUGACACGUUAUUACAGAGCCCCUGAGGUCAUCCUGGGGAUGGGCUACAAGGAGAACGGUAGGGAUGCUUCGGGAGAGCAGCAUCAAAACCAUGAAUAAAAUGGGUGCACGUUGUAGAUAGCCAAGGGGAAUGUUCUCUUUUAUGUACAUGCUUUUAUAAAGUAGGGCUGCCAGAUAGCAUAUUCAGGGUUUUUUUUAAAUACUACUGGUAAGAAACACUCAUUAAAAAUGUGAAGGAUGUUAUUGAGAAGUCAGUUUUGCUAGAAGAGCACUAAAUGUUAAUAGUGAAAAAGAAUUGUAAAUGGAGUCUGAUUAAACAGUCAAGUGGAUGCUGAUUAGCACACGUGCCUAGAUAUUGAGAAAAAUUGCUAUUUGGGUUGCAGCUCAGCUGAGCAUGAGUGUGAAAGCAGGAAGGAAUCUACCACAGUUAGCCAUGUGGCUUUUAUGUCGUAUCUCAGACUGAUGGCUGUAGUUCCAGAAAAAGACAAGCAAAAAAGUGACACAAAUCCUUGGAGUAAAAAUCUUCAUAGACAACUUUGAAAUAAUCCAAAUUAUUUAAACUGAAUAAGAAUUUCUGUAAUAAUUUAAGCUGCUCUGUAAGAAAUAUUUAGAAUAGCAAUUGCCUAAUAAAUCCUUAUAUAUUCCAAAAAUCGUAAAAAAGGAAAAUGUCAAAUUUGACACUACUGCUUUCAUAAAGAAAACUUAAUGUUCAUGAACACUUUAAAAUGAAGGCUAUGGAAGGAAUCUUAAAAAUGUAUUACAAUUGAGUGUAGUUGAUUAAAACUAAGGAUUUAUUAAAUAUCUGUUAGAAAGCAUUGCAAUGUAUUAUUUUGAUGAGACUAUAUCUUACAAGUAAUGCACCAUAUUGAAAACAUAUUCAAUAUACUUAGGAAUUAAAAUAGUUUUAAAUUAGGAUUGUAUAUGUAUUCAGUGUAUCUUUAAUAUUUAUUUUUAUAUUCUAUUCUAUUUAGUUUUUAGCAGUCUAUAUUAAUAAGUUUUAUAAAAAUAAUCAGUGUAUUUUUAUGUACAGGUGCUACAGGGUACUUUUGUGAAAAUUCCCUGGCCACUGAAGUUUACAGAAACUUCUUUGUAUACUCUUAGAUUAGAAGACAGAUAAUGUAUGUAUGCAUUUAUACAGAGGAAGUUAAAAAGUCACCUCUUACGAAGGUCAGGUUCACCCUGGUGGGCAGUAUCGGAGUUCUGGUACCUUUUGACUCAGAAGAGAUGAAUCUAGCCCUCCUUGCUAGGCAAUACCACAUCUAAUUUAUUCAGAAAAGAAGACAUUUUUAUACUUUCUUCACGAGUUAUUUUUAAAAAGUCAAAGGAGAAACAAAGUCAAGAAUCAAGAAUGUACAGGAGACUGGGGGGUGGGGUGGUCUGAAUUUGCCUAUUUGGGCUUUCAGAUCUUGGCACUACCAAUAGCUGGUAUUAAAAUCCCUUUCCCUUCCCUCACUAGAAGGAAUUGCAAGUUGCUACCUUAGGUUUUUGACUUCUCUAAGUCCAUGGAGGAGGCCUGCCUAGCACCCUGGUGCUGCCCUCCCACCAAUGGGAGGAAGGUUAUCAUGCAGAAAAACCUGCUUGCUCCCACAUCAGGCAUGCCCUGCUGUCCCCUGCACCUAGCCCCGCCUUCCUUCCCCAUGGAACAAUUCGGCCAAAUGAUUCUGCCCAAAAGUUCCCUUUGUCCAUAAUGAAAAGCAAGUUGGAAAGGGGUAAAGAUUGGUAAGAGAAGGCAAAGCAUGUUUUCCUAACAAGUUUGACAAUUUGGAAAUAAAUAUACGUACAUAACAAUUUUUAACACCUUUAAUACUUUUUUCACUUUCCUUCCAGAUGACUCCUUUAUACGUGUGCUAAUUCAUCAUAUGUCUUUUUUCUUGAAAUAUUUCAAAUGGAAACUAAAACUGAUGUUUAUUUACAAGAAUAAACUUCUGAAGGAAAAGCUAAGUCCCAAAUACCAGGAAUUCCAAUUCUUUUGCCUCUAAACCAUGGUUCCAGUCAUUUCCUGGUUUAUUGGAUUUGGUUGAAUUUAUCUUGUUUUUGCCCCAGCCCCCUGGCCCCCUGAAAAAAAGGUGGUCUCUUGUUGCCCUAUUCUCUGUAACUGAAUAGAAUAGAAAAUGAAAAUAGCCACCUCUACAAGUUAAUAUUGUUUUCUAUGCAUCCGGAAAAUGACACAGAAAACCCUUUGGUGGCUUUUAGCUGUCACCUGCCAUGGAGAUACUUUUGGUUUAGCUAUUGCUUUUCUCAGUCACCAAUGUCACCACUUUGUGGCACUACUGACAGGCAAUGUAAGGCACCCACAAAGUAAUGGGUUUUUAAACAUUAAUUUGAGUUAUCAUACUAGACACUGUUUAUGUAAUAGCAUAGUGCUGGUUUGAAUUCACCUUUUGGCCAACUUUUGGUGGGAGGUGAAAAUUGUACUUUUAAUCAAACUGUUCUUUUUCCUCCUCCUUCAGAAGUCAAUUAUCUUAGUUAACUUUACUUUCCUCCCUUUUCUUCACUACCCUCUCUCUCCUGUUCUAGUGGAUAUAUGGUCUGUGGGAUGCAUUAUGGGAGAAAUGGUUCGCCACAAAAUCCUCUUUCCAGGAAGGGACUAUAUUGACCAGUGGAAUAAGGUAAUUGAACAACUAGGAACACCAUGUCCAGAAUUCAUGAAGAAAUUGCAACCCACAGUAAGAAACUAUGUGGAGAAUCGGCCCAAGUAUGCGGGACUCACCUUCCCCAAACUCUUCCCAGAUUCCCUCUUCCCAGCGGACUCCGAGCACAAUAAACUCAAAGCCAGCCAAGCCAGGGACUUGUUGUCAAAGAUGCUAGUGAUUGACCCAGCAAAAAGAAUAUCAGUGGACGACGCCUUACAGCAUCCCUACAUCAACGUCUGGUAUGACCCAGCCGAAGUGGAGGCGCCUCCACCUCAGAUAUAUGACAAGCAGUUGGAUGAAAGAGAACACACAAUCGAAGAAUGGAAAGAACUUAUCUACAAGGAAGUAAUGAAUUCAGAAGAAAAGACUAAAAAUGGUGUAGUAAAAGGACAGCCUUCUCCUUCAGGUGCAGCAGUGAACAGCAGUGAGAGUCUCCCUCCAUCCUCGUCUGUCAAUGACAUCUCCUCCAUGUCCACCGACCAGACCCUGGCAUCUGACACUGACAGCAGCCUGGAAGCCUCGGCAGGACCCCUGGGUUGUUGCAGGUGACUAGCCGCCUGCCUGCGAAACCCAGCGUUCUUCAGGAGAUGAUGUGAUGGAACACACACACACGCAGACACACACACACACACACAAAUGCAGACAUACAACAUCAAGAAAACAGCAAGGGAGAGAAUCCAAGCCUAAAAUUAAAUAAAUCUUUCAGCCUGCUUCUUCCCCAGGGUUCUGUAUUGCAGCUAAGCUCAAAUGUAUAUUUAACUUCUAGUUGCUCUUGCUUUGGUCUUCUUCCAAUGAUGCUUACUACAGAAAGCAAAUCAGACACAAUUAGAGAAGCCUUUUCCAUAAAGUGUAAUUUUAAUGGCUGCAAAACCGGCAACCUGUAACUGCCCUUUUAAAUGGCAUGACAAGGUGUGCAGUGGCCCCAUCCAGCAUGUGUGUGUCUCUAUCUUGCAUCUACCUGCUCCUUGGCCUAGUCAGAUGGAUGUAGAUACAGAUCCGCAUGUGUCUGUAUUCAUACAGCACUACUUACUUAGAGAUGCUACUGUCAGUGUCCUCAGGGCUCUACCAAGACAUAAUGCACUGGGGUACCACAUGGUCCAUUUCAUGUGAUCUAUUACUCUGACAUAAACCCAUCUGUAAUAUAUUGCCAGUAUAUAAGCUGUUUAGUUUGUUAAUUGAUUAAACUGUAUGUCUUAUAAGAAAACAUGUAAAGGGGGAAUAUAUGGGGGGAGUGAGCUCUCUCAGACCCUUGAAGAUGUAGCUUCCAAAUUUGAAUGGAUUAAAUGGCACCUGUAUACC